UAUAUAAUACAAGGCAAGUUGAUGGGCAUAUGCUUUCAUUAGCUCGGGGCCCUGAGAAAAGGGCUGUUUUUUAUCGUGGUUACAAUGUUAACGGGUUUAGAUUUCAUACAAAUCAAUGUGAUGAAAGUAAAAGAACACAAAAUAAUGGAGUUAUGGUGAGAGGGGAGGAUCAAAGUUGCAAUGUGCCUUAUUAUGGACAACUAACAGACAUUGUUGAACUUCAAUAUACUGAAGGGAACAAAGUUGUGUUGUUUAAAUGUGAUUGGUAUGAUGUAUCUCGGGAAGGAAUUGGUUAUAAGAGAGAUCGGCACGGAACCACUAUUGUUAAUACAUCACGAAAGUUGAAAACUGUAGAGCCAUUUGUAUUAGCAAGUCAAGCAACUCAAGUUUACUAUGUUAAUGGAAUAAAAGAUCCCACAUGGAAUGUUGUGAUUGAAACCAAACCACGAAACCUUUAUGAAAUGCCAUCAGAUGAAGAAGAGCCAUACCAAGAAGAAGACAAUUUACAUUGUAAUGCAAAUGUGCUGCAAGAAGAAAAUGAGGAUGAUGAUAUAGAUUGGAGAAGGAGUGGCGUUGAGAAUAUGAUAAUCGAGUGAUUUCAAAGGCUUACAGGCUCAACUCCAUCACCGUAUUUGGCUUCAUCUAGAUUAGUUAUCCAUGUGCAUAAUACUAAGGAUGCUUAUUGAAAUAGAAAUUUAGUCACAGACAAGGUCAUUUGCUCAGUUAUCCCAUUCAUACCACUAAAAAAGGAGAGGUUAAAGUGCUACCUGAGACAGAAUUCUCCCCAGACACAAAGGCUAAAGUUCUUGGAUCCAAGUCUAAAUUACUGCCUCCAAUUCUCACCACUUAAUUGCCUUGCACUGAUUUUAAAACUGAUUUUUUUUUUUUUUUUUUUUUUUGUUUAUAUUAUUUCCCAGUACUGAGUGAUUGGCAUUCACUAAUUGCUAUGUGUUGUGGAUAUGUAAAUUACAUUUUCUCUGUAGUCUAGUUCAUGCAACUUUCCAAAGA
This is a long non-coding RNA of Quercus robur (English oak), 1008 nucleotides long. RefSeq lists it as uncharacterized. The transcript has 2 exons. The record is from RefSeq and is a predicted model, not a curated record. NCBI's taxonomy places the organism in Eukaryota, Viridiplantae, Streptophyta, Magnoliopsida, Fagales, Fagaceae.